AGUGAACGCUGGCGGUACGCCUAACACAUGCAAGUCGAACGGCAGCACAGUAAGAGCUUGCUCUUACGGGUGGCGAGUGGCGGACGGGUUAGGAAUACAUCGGAAUCUACUUUUUCGUGGGUGAUAACGUAGGGAAAGUUACGCUAAUACCGCAUACGACCUACUGGUGAAAUCAUUCGAUCUUCGGACCUUGCGCGAUUGACUGAGCCGAUGUCGGAUUAGCUAGUUGGCGGGGUAAAGGCCCACCAAGGCGACGAUCCGUAGCUGGUCUGAGAGGAUGAUCAGCCACACUGGAACUGAGACACGGUCCAGACUCCUACGGGAGGCAGCAGUGGGGAAUAUUGGACAAUGGGCGCAAGCCUGAUCCAGCCAUACCGCGUGGGUGAAGAAGGCCUUCGGGUUGUAAAGCCCUUUUGUUCGGAAAGAAAAGCGGCAGGUUAAUCCCCCGCUGUUCUGACGGUACCCAAAGAAUAAGCACCGGCUAAGUUCGUG
RNAcentral lists this ribosomal RNA (492 nucleotides) under uncultured bacterium. Its description in RNAcentral is "partial 16S ribosomal RNA". It matches the Rfam family "Bacterial small subunit ribosomal RNA", at positions 29 to 507 of the family's 1533-position model. The record is from RNAcentral.